This 805-nucleotide ribosomal RNA is filed under the name uncultured crenarchaeote. RNAcentral's name for it is "bacterial SSU rRNA". It matches the Rfam family "Archaeal small subunit ribosomal RNA", at positions 38 to 847 of the family's 1478-position model. Lineage: Archaea; Thermoproteati; Thermoproteota. The record is from RNAcentral.
UGGGUACUAAGCCUGCGAGUCAACGCAGCAAUACAAGGCAGACGGCUCAGUAACACGUAGUCAAUCUACCCUAUGGACGGGGAUAACCUCGGGAAACUGAGAAUAAUACCCGAUAGAUCAUAAUUCCUGGAAUGGUUUAUGGUUCAAAUGAUUUAUCGCCGUAGGAUGGGACUGCGGCCUAUCAGCUUGUUGGUGAGGUAAUGGCCCACCAAGGCUAUAACAGGUACGGGCUCUGAGAGGAGAAGCCCGGAGAUGGGUACUGAGACCCGGACCCAGGCCCUAUGGGGCGCAGCAGGCGAGAAACCUUAGCAAUGUGCGAAAGCACGACUAGGUUAAUCCGAGUGAUUUCUGCUGAAGAAAUCUUUUGUCAGUUCUAAAACUACUAAUGAAUAAGGGGUGGGCAAGUCUGGUGUCAGCCGCCGCGGUAAUACCAGCACCUCGAGUGGUCAGGAGGUUUAUUGGGCCUAAAGCAUCCGUAGCCGGCUUUGCAAGUCUCCGGUUAAAUCCAACUGCUCAACAGAUGGGCCGCCGGAGAUACUACAAAGCUAGGGAGCGGGAGAGGCAGACGGUAUUCGGUGGGUAGGGGUAAAAUCCUCUGAUCCAUUGAGGACCACCAGUGGCGAAGGCGGUCUGCCAGAACGCGUUCGACGGUGAGGGAUGAAAGCUGGGGGAGCAAACCGGAUUAGAUACCCGGAUAGUCCCAGCUGUAAACGAUGCAGACUCGGUGAUGGGUUGGCUUCGCGCCAACCCAGUGCCGCAGGGAAGCCGUUAAGUUCUGCCGCCCNGGGGAGUNACGGUGCGCAAG